This 253-nucleotide ribosomal RNA is filed under the name uncultured bacterium. RNAcentral describes it as "partial 16S ribosomal RNA". It matches the Rfam family "Bacterial small subunit ribosomal RNA", at positions 524 to 776 of the family's 1533-position model. The record is from RNAcentral.
UACGAAGGGUGCAAGCGUUACUCGGAAUUACUGGGCGUAAAGCGUGCGUAGGCGGUUUGUUAAGUCUGAUGUGAAAGCCCUGGGCUCAACCUGGGAAUGGCAUUGGAUACUGGCAACCUAGAAUGUGGUAGAGGGUGGCGGAAUUCCCGGUGUAGCAGUGAAAUGCGUAGAUAUCGGGAGGAACAUCCGUGGCGAAGGCGGCCACCUGGACCAACAUUGACGCUGAGGCACGAAAGCGUGGGGAGCGAACAGG